RNAcentral lists this ribosomal RNA (369 nucleotides) under Hypocolpus diverticulatus. Its description in RNAcentral is "partial 12S ribosomal RNA". Lineage: Eukaryota; Metazoa; Arthropoda; Malacostraca; Decapoda; Xanthidae. The record is from RNAcentral.
UAGAUACCCUAUUAUAUUAAUGAGGCUCUAGAUUAGUAAUAGAUAUGUUCUUUAAAUUCGAAGAAUUUGGCGGUGGUUUAGUCUUGUUAGAGGAACCUGUUUUUGAAUCGAUACACCACGUAGAAUUUUACUCAUUUUAUUUCGUUUAUAUACCGUCAUUAUCAGAUAAUUUUUAAAGAAGUAAUUAUUAAAUUUUAUAGAAGUAAAUUAAAUUAGAUCAAGGUGUAGCUGAUAAGUGAGUUAAAAUGGGUUACAAUAAAAUAUAUUUAUUACGGAUUAGUUGCAGAAGUGGAGUUAUGAAGGAGGAUUUAAUUGUAAUUUGAGUUUAGUAAGCUUGAAAGAUAUAAGCUCUAAAUCAUGUACAUAUCG